GACGAACGCUGGCGGCGUGCUUAACACAUGCAAGUCGAACGGAAAGGCCCUGCUUUUGUGGGGUGCUCGAGUGGCGAACGGGUGAGUAACACGUGAGUAACCUGCCCUUGACUUUGGGAUGACUUCAGGAAACUGGGGCUAAUACCGGAUAGGAGCUCCUGCUGCAUGGUGGGGGUUGGAAAGUUUCGGCGGUUGGGGAUGGACUCGCGGCUUAUCAGCUUGUUGGUGGGGUAGUGGCUUACCAAGGCUUUGACGGGUAGCCGGCCUGAGAGGGUGACCGGCCACAUUGGGACUGAGAUACGGCCCAGACUCCUACGGGAGGCAGCGGUGGGGAAUAUUGCACAAUGGGCGGAAGCCUGAUGCAGCAACGCCGCGUGCGGGAUGACGGCCUUCGGGUUGUAAACCGCUUUCGCCUGUGCCGAAGCGUGAGUGACGGUAAUGGGUAAAGAAGCACCGGCUAACUACGUG
RNAcentral lists this ribosomal RNA (468 nucleotides) under uncultured bacterium. Its description in RNAcentral is "partial 16S ribosomal RNA". It matches the Rfam family "Bacterial small subunit ribosomal RNA", at positions 28 to 507 of the family's 1533-position model. The record is from RNAcentral.